AGUGAACGCUGGCGGUAGGCCUAACACAUGCAAGUCGAACGGCAGCACAGUAAGAGCUUGCUCUUACGGGUGGCGAGUGGCGGACGGGUGAGGAAUACAUCGGAAUCUACUUUUUCGUGGGGGAUAACGUAGGGAAACUUACGCUAAUACCGCAUACGACCUACGGGUGAAAGCAGGGGAUCUUCGGACCUUGCGCGAUUGAAUGAGCCGAUGUCGGAUUAGCUAGUUGGCGGGGUAAAGGCCCACCAAGGCGACGAUCCGUAGCUGGUCUGAGAGGAUGAACCGGCCACACUGGACCUGAGACACGUUCCAGAUCCUUACGGGAGCCAGCAUUGGGGAAUUUUGACCAAUGGGCGCAAGCCUGUCCCAGCCAUACCGCGUGGGUGAAGAAGGCCUUCGGUUUGUAAAGCCUUUUUGUUGGGAAAGAAAAGCAGCAGGUUAAUACCCCGCUGUUCUGCCGGGACCCAAAGAAUAGCACCGGCUAACUUCGUG
This 492-nucleotide ribosomal RNA is filed under the name uncultured bacterium. RNAcentral's name for it is "partial 16S ribosomal RNA". It matches the Rfam family "Bacterial small subunit ribosomal RNA", at positions 29 to 507 of the family's 1533-position model. The record is from RNAcentral.